UGAGGAAUAUUGGUCAAUGGACGAGAGUCUGAACCAGCCAAAUCGCGUGAAGGAAGACUGCCCUACGGGUUGUAAACUUCUUUUGUACAGGAAUAAAAGACAUUACGUGUAAUGUAUUGCAUGUACUGUACGAAUAAGCAUCGGCUAACUCCGUGCCAGCAGCCGCGGUAAUACGGAGGAUGCGAGCGUUAUCCGGAUUUAUUGGGUUUAAAGGGUGCGCAGGCGGGAUUUUAAGUCAGCGGUGAAAUUUUCAGGCUCAACCUGAACACUGCCGUUGAAACUGGGAUUCUUCAGUAUGGAUGAAGUAGGCGGAAUUCGUUGUGUAGCGGUGACAUGCUUAGAUAUAACGAGGAACUCCGAUUGCGUAGGCAGCUUACUAAGCCAUAACUGACGCUCAAGCACGAAAGCGUGGGGAUCAAACA
This 422-nucleotide ribosomal RNA is filed under the name uncultured bacterium. RNAcentral's name for it is "bacterial SSU rRNA". It matches the Rfam family "Bacterial small subunit ribosomal RNA", at positions 355 to 774 of the family's 1533-position model. The record is from RNAcentral.